RNAcentral lists this ribosomal RNA (895 nucleotides) under uncultured archaeon. RNAcentral describes it as "bacterial SSU rRNA". It matches the Rfam family "Archaeal small subunit ribosomal RNA", at positions 17 to 921 of the family's 1478-position model. The record is from RNAcentral.
CCGGACCUGACUGCUAUCGGAGUGUUACCCUCAUGCGAGUCAACCCGAAAGGGUGGCGGACGGCUCAACACACGUAGUCAACCUGCCCUACCCCACGUGGAAAACGUCUGGGAAACUGACGAUAACCCGCGAUAGGUCAUCGCUUCUGGAAUGGGCAAUGGCUCAAACCUACAUGGCCCUAGGAUGGGACUGCGGCCGAUCAGGUUGUUGGUGAGGUAAUGGCUCACCAAGCCUAUAACCGGUACGGGCUCUGAGAGGAGGAGCCCGGAGAUGGACACUGAGACAAGGGUCCAGGUCCUAUGGGACGCAGCAGGCGCGAAACCUUCGCAAUAGGCGAAAGCCUGACGAGGUUACUCCGAGUGUUUCCUGCUAAAGGAAUCUUUUGUCAGCUCUAAAAAUGCUGAUGAAUAAGGGGUGGGCAAGCCUGGUGUCAGCCGCCGCGGUAAUACCAGCACCCCGAGUGGUCAGGAUGAUUAUUUUGGCCUAAAGCAUCCGUUAGCCGGCCCCGUAAGUCUUCCGUUUAAAUCCACCUGCUCAACAGUUUGGGCUGCCGGGAGAUACUGUGAGGCUAGGAGGCGGGAGAGGCGAGGGGUAUUCCUUGGGUAGGGGUAAAAUCCUCUGAUCCAUGGAGGACCACCAGUGGCGAAGGCGUCUUCGCCAGAACGCGCUCGACGGUGAGGGAUGAAAGCUGGGGGAGCAAACCGGAUUAGAUACCCGGGUAGUCCCAGCUGUAAACGAUGUAGGCUCGGUGAUGGGUUGACUUUGAGUUAACCCAGUGCCGCAGGGAAGCCGUUAAGCCUACCGCCUGGGGAGUACGGUCGCAAGACUGAAACUUAAAGGAAUUGGCGGGGGAGCCACAAGGGGUGAAGCUGCGGUUCAAUGGAGUCAACGCCGG